CCUAAGAGAUACGUGUUAUGUGAAGUGCUCACACAGAUUGUCUGAUGAAGAACGAGCAAAAGCGCGUCUGCGAAGCUGACAGAAGUCCCCUUCGUCUAGAGGCCUAGGACACCGCCCUUUCACGGCGGUAACAGGGGUUCGAAUCCCCUAUGGGACGCCAAUGCGCGGUAUGAGUGAAAGGCGUACCACUUAUCUGACGAGAGUCAGAGAAUAAAUAAGCUAAUUCAAAUGAGUUAUCUUACUUAUUAUGCUCUUUAACAAUCUGGAACAAGCUGAAAAAUUGAAAACAAAUCAAUAUAUCACCGAGGUAUAUUGAUGAGUCUCUCAAAAUCUCAAACCUUAAAGUUUGUCACGCAAAGUUUAUCUUUGAAAGAGACACUUUCGGGUUGUGA
Molecule: unclassified non-coding RNA, 392 nt
Filed under: Proteus mirabilis
Lineage: Bacteria; Pseudomonadati; Pseudomonadota; Gammaproteobacteria; Enterobacterales; Morganellaceae
Description: partial 16S-23S ribosomal RNA intergenic spacer
Rfam family: Salmonella enterica Typhi npcRNA 44 (bases 253-365)
Source: RNAcentral